GAUGAAGAACGUAGCGAAAUGCGAUAAGUAGUGUGAAUUGCAGAAUUCAGUGAAUCAUCGAAUCUUUGAACGCACAUUGCGCCCUUUGGUAUUCCUUAGGGCAUGCCUGUUCGAGCGUCAUUUAAACCUUCAAGCUAAGCUUGGUGUUGGGUGACUGUCCGCUUCACGGCGGACUCGCCUCAAAAUUAUUGGCGGCCGGUACAUUGGCUUCGAGCGCAGCAGAAACGCGAACUCGGGCCCGUCGUAUUGGCUCCCAGAAGCUAUCUUCACAAUUUUGACCUCGGAUCAGGUAGGGAUACCCGCUGAACUUAAGCAUAUCUAAGCGGAGGA
Molecule: unclassified non-coding RNA, 330 nt
Filed under: soil metagenome
Description: partial contains 5.8S ribosomal RNA, internal transcribed spacer 2, and large subunit ribosomal RNA
Rfam family: 5.8S ribosomal RNA (bases 1-120)
Source: RNAcentral